UCCUUGUAUGCCUGAAGUUUUCAGAAGGCAAACAGGAAAAUGCUGGGGGAACAGAUGAAAGCAUUUGCUUUCUCACCCUUGGAGGAAGAGCUGUGGGAAGGGACAGGGAGAUGUCAAUGCAGGAUUCUAAACUUGCUGUGGAUGAGCAAAGAAGGCACCUGAAGAGAUUAUGCCUGUCUACAACACCUCUGGUAAUUUUGGGAGUACUCUGGUCACCCUGGGGAGACUGCUGACACUACACAGCAUGAAGGCCAGCCUCCCUAGGUGCUCUGGAUCAUAUGAAGCUUCGGAAAUGCUGUUGCAUCUUCCUCCUUUCUUUAUUUUCACAUGACAAAGUUUUUGUGCCAAGAAUCUUACAGCUUGGAGUUCAAGAUUCUUUGCUUGUCUACAGCAGUGUGUGGCACAAGGAAGUCCUUCAGUUUCUCUUUGCCAAGCAUUAUCCCAGGCAUAAUUUCUAUUUAAAUAAAGCUGUGGCGAAUGCAUCGUAUUGGUGAUGUCUACCUUUUCCAGUAUGAACAAAAAAACCUCUUCCUUGGAACGUGGCUGGAAGAAAACCUUCUCUUUAUAAAGAGAACAGGGAGAGAACACUUGAGUUGUCUAGUCUGGAGAAAAGGAGGUUGAGAGGUGACAGCAUUUUUCUCUGCAACUUCCUGAGGAAGGGGAGAGGGAGGUGCCUGGCUGUGCUCACUGUAACUGAUGAUAGGACACACAAGAACUGCACAAAGCUGAGCCUUAGGUUUGGCUCAGGCUAGAUAUUAGGAAAAAUUUCUUUAC
Long non-coding RNA from Numida meleagris (helmeted guineafowl), 774 nucleotides. RefSeq lists it as uncharacterized. The record is from RefSeq and is a predicted model, not a curated record. The transcript has 3 exons. Lineage: Eukaryota; Metazoa; Chordata; Aves; Galliformes; Numididae.